RNAcentral lists this ribosomal RNA (600 nucleotides) under uncultured archaeon. RNAcentral describes it as "bacterial SSU rRNA". It matches the Rfam family "Archaeal small subunit ribosomal RNA", at positions 87 to 690 of the family's 1478-position model. The record is from RNAcentral.
GGCUCAGUAACACGUGGCUAACCUACCCUCGGGUGGGGGAUAACCUCGGGAAACUGAGGAUAAUACCCCAUAGGAGAAGAGGUCUGGAAUGAUCCUUCUCUGAAAACAUAUGUGCCCGAGGAUGGGGCUGCGUCUGAUUAGGUAGUUGGUGGGGUAACGGCCCACCAAGCCUACGAUCAGUACGGGCCUUGAGAGAGGCAGCCCGGAGAUGGGGACUGAGACACGGCCCCAGGCCCUACGGGGCGCAGCAGGCGCGAAACCUCCGCAAUGCACGAAAGUGCGACGGGGGGACCCCAAGUGCUUACGCACUGCGUAGGCUUUUCUAAAGUGUAAAAAGCUUUAGGAAUAAGGGCUGGGCAAGUCCGGUGCCAGCAGCCGCGGUAACACCGGCGGCCCGAGUGGUGACCACUUUUAUUGGGCCUAAAGCGUCCGUAGCCGGUCCAGUAAGUCCCUGUUUAAAUCCUACGGCUUAACCGUAGGGCUGGCAGGGAUACUGCUGGACUUGGGACCGGGAGAGGGCGAGGGUACUUCAGGGGUAGCGGUGAAAUGUGUUGAUCCCUGGAGGACCACCUAUGGCGAAGGCACUCGCCUGGAACGGGU